Molecule: non-coding RNA, 86 nt
Organism: Myotis davidii
Lineage: Eukaryota; Metazoa; Chordata; Mammalia; Chiroptera; Vespertilionidae
Source: Rfam
GGCAGUUCUUGAGUGAUGCACCCCACAGCACCCCAGAAUUGGGCUCCCUCCUUUCUGGUUCCGGGGUGGGUCACUCGAGAACCGCU